Long non-coding RNA from Globicephala melas (long-finned pilot whale), 1475 nucleotides. RefSeq lists it as uncharacterized. The record is from RefSeq and is a predicted model, not a curated record. NCBI's taxonomy places the organism in Eukaryota, Metazoa, Chordata, Mammalia, Artiodactyla, Delphinidae.
UUCCACCCAUCCAUCCAUCCACCCACCCACACUUCCACGCAUCCAUCAUCCUUCCAAGCAUGCAGUAGGAGGUCAAUUAACAGCUCAGUGAGGAGCGGGGCACCCCUAAACCAUUAUUGUGGUUGGGAGCUAGGCAAAGACACACCCAGUAGUUGCAUGUAGUGUUCAUGAUUGACAACUUGCAAGUGAAUGGUUCCUGAAUCCUGGGCUGUGAUGUGAGAAAGAGAGAUGGGAUGAAUUUCAAGGACUGAUUACAAAGGUUCACAGGGAGCUGCUAAAAUUUAAUCAGAAGAGUGUCUGCCUUUCUCCCCAGACUGGGCGAGAGCUGCUCGGGGAAGGCAGAGGCUCGUGUAAACUGUCCUUCCACAGAGUUCUUGCUAUGGAGCUUUUCCUCGCAGUGAUGCCCACUGCAUCACAGAGCUGCCAUUCUGAUAGUUCUUGCUUUCUUCUUAAACAAACUAAGGCUAAGUUCCCCAGAGAGUUUCCAUUGAAAGAUGCCCCCCAAAUUGGAGAACUCGGUGGAAAUCAAGAUCUGAAAUCAUUCCUUUGCUCCCCAAAUGUUGUAUUCUAGUAUUUUCCUGGUUGCAGGAAUUCUGACUGAAAUGUACUCAUUUCUUUUCUUUUCUUUUUUUUUGGCCGAGCCGUGCAGCACGUGGGACCUUAGUUCCCCAGCCAGGGUUCAAACCCACACCCCCUGCAUUGGAAGCACGGAGUCUUAACCACUGCAUCGCCAGGGAAGUCCCCUGAAAUGUACUCAUAUCUAAUGUUAAUUUGAGUUGUGUUUCUUUUUAAAAAUGCCCCCCACUUCCCUUCUGAAUGUCAGGUGGCACACUCAUUAGUCGUCUGGAAUAAGUCUGUCUCCAGCUGAAUGAGACUUGGAAAGAGGAAAUAGGGGGCAGUGGUUAGAGCCCUGAGUGGUCAGGAGUCCUGGUUCCCAUGUCUUACUCUGCCACUGAGUCACUUGCUGCCACUGGACAAGCGACUUGGUUUUUCGGAGUUACCGCCUAACUGCCUAAGAUCAUGCAAUGCCUUCAUGCGUGCCCCCAGGGCUGACUGCUUCCACUGCCCUGACCUUAGUAUACCACUGAUUCCACUAAACCGCUGUGGUAUCAGAGGCAAGAAUGUUGUGCCUGAUAUGAUAUGCUGGACCAUCGGAGCACCAACACUACACUUUGUCAAGCUGGAGCUCCAUCAGUGAGACACUUCAACAGUGACUGGCUACAUUGGAUCUUCGUCGCUGUGCACGGGCUUUCUCCAGUUGCGGAGAAUGGGGGCCACUCUUCGUUCGGGCACUCAGGUCCUUCAUUGCGGUGCCUUCUCUUGUUGCGGAGCACGGGCUCCAGGCUCCCGGGCUUCAGUAGUCGUGGCUCGGGAGCUCCAGAGUGCAGGCUCAGCAGCCGUGGCGCACGGGCCCAGGGCCCAGCUGUUCCGCGGGAUCUUCCGGAACCAGGGCUCAAACGUGCGUCCCCUGAAUU